GAUGAACGCUGGCGGCGUGCCUAAUACAUGCAAGUCGAGCGAACAGACGAGGAGCUUGCUCCUCUGACGUUAGCGGCGGACGGGUGAGUAACACGUGGAUAACCUACCUAUAAGACUGGGAUAACUUCGGGAAACCGGAGCUAAUACCGGAUAACAUGUUGAACCGCAUGGUUCAACAGUGAAAGACGGUUUUGCUGUCACUUAUAGAUGGAUCCGCGUCGCAUUAGCUAGUUGGUAAGGUAACGGCUUACCAAGGCAACGAUGCGUAGCCGACCUGAGAGGGUGAUCGGCCACACUGGAACUGAGACACGGUCCAGACUCCUACGGGAGGCAGCAGUAGGGAAUCUUCCGCAAUGGGCGAAAGCCUGACGGAGCAACGCCGGGUGAGUGAAGAAGGUCUUCGGAUCGUAAAACUCUGUUAUUAGGGAAGAACAAAUGUGUAAGUAACUAUGCACGUCUUGACGGUACCUAAUCAGAAAGCCACGGCUAACUACGUG
RNAcentral lists this ribosomal RNA (497 nucleotides) under uncultured bacterium. RNAcentral describes it as "partial 16S ribosomal RNA". It matches the Rfam family "Bacterial small subunit ribosomal RNA", at positions 28 to 507 of the family's 1533-position model. The record is from RNAcentral.